AUGGCGAUCUCCGGCCUUACUGAUACGUAGUGAUAACCUAGUUGGCGGA
This 49-nucleotide small nucleolar RNA is filed under the name Pyrobaculum aerophilum str. IM2. RNAcentral's name for it is "PAEsR113a". The record is from RNAcentral. Lineage: Archaea; Thermoproteati; Thermoproteota; Thermoprotei; Thermoproteales; Thermoproteaceae.